Molecule: ribosomal RNA, 216 nt
Filed under: Glomeromycotina sp.
Lineage: Eukaryota; Fungi; Glomeromycota
Description: partial small subunit ribosomal RNA
Rfam family: Eukaryotic small subunit ribosomal RNA (bases 40-216)
Source: RNAcentral
GGGUCAGCAGGUUGGUCGUGCCACCGGUACGUACUGGUCUCACUGAUUCCUCCUUCCUGAAGAACCGUAAUGCCAUUAAUCUGGUGUUGCGGGGAAACAGGACUGUUACUUUGAAAAAAUUAGAGUGUUUAAAGCAAGCUAACGCUUGAAUACAUUAGCAUGGGAUAAUGAAAUAGGACGAUCGAUCCUAUUUUGUUGGUUUCUAGGAUUGACGUA